Molecule: ribosomal RNA, 402 nt
Filed under: bacterium
Lineage: Bacteria
Description: partial 16S ribosomal RNA
Rfam family: Bacterial small subunit ribosomal RNA
Source: RNAcentral
UGGGGAAUUUUGCACAAUGGGGGAAACCCUGAUGCAGCGACGCCGCGUGAUUUAGAAGGCCUUCGGGUUGUAAAAAUCUUUUUUACGGGAUGAAAAUGACAGUACCGUAAGAAUAAGGUCCGGCUAAAUACGUGCCAGCAGCCGCGGUAAUACGUAUGGACCGAGCGUUGUCCGGAAUCAUUGGGCGUAAAGGGUACGUAGGCGGCCUAAUAAGUUAGAAGUGAAAGAAUAUAGCUCAACUAUAUAAAGCUUUUAAAACUGUUAGGCUUGAGAGAUGAAAGGGAAAGUAGAAUUCCUAGUGUAGCGGUGAAAUGCGCAGAUAUUAGGAAGAAUACCGGUGGCGAAGGCGACUUUCUGGUCAUCAUCUGACGCUGAGGUACGAAAGCGUGGGUAGCAAACAGG